RNAcentral lists this transfer RNA (74 nucleotides) under Candidatus Carsonella ruddii. Its description in RNAcentral is "tRNA-Met". It matches the Rfam family "tRNA". Rfam says of the family: Transfer RNA (tRNA) molecules are approximately 80 nucleotides in length. Their secondary structure includes four short double-helical elements and three loops (D, anti-codon, and T loops). Lineage: Bacteria; Pseudomonadati; Pseudomonadota; Gammaproteobacteria; Oceanospirillales; Halomonadaceae. The record is from RNAcentral.
GGGUUUAUAACUCAAUUGGUUAGAGUAUAGGACUCAUAAUCCUCUAGUUGUAGGUUCAAGUCCUACUAAACCCA